ACAGCAGUAGCCGCGGGAAUACAGAGGGUGCGAGCGUUAAUCGGAUUUACUGGGCGUAAAGCGUGCGUAGGCGGCUAAUUGAGUCGGAUGUGAAAUCCCCGAGCUUAACUUGGGAAUUGCAUUCGAUACUGGUUAGCUAGAGUGUGGGAGAGGAUGGUAGAAUUCCAGGUGUAGCGGUGAAAUGCGUAGAGAUCUGGAGGAAUACCGAUGGCGAAGGCAGCCAUCUGGCCUAACACUGACGCUGAGGUACGAAAGCAUGGGGAGCAAACAGGAUUAGAUACCCGAGUAGUCCCUGUCUCUUAUAC
Molecule: ribosomal RNA, 305 nt
Filed under: uncultured bacterium
Lineage: Bacteria
Description: partial 16S ribosomal RNA
Rfam family: Bacterial small subunit ribosomal RNA
Source: RNAcentral